GACCACAAAACCAGUCAUAAGGGUCAUUUUUUUCAAAUUGAGAUUUACAUAUCAUGUGAAAGCUAAAAAUAAAUAAUCUCUGCAUUGAUGUAUGGUUUGUUAGGAGGACAAUAUUUGCCCGAGGUACAAUUAUUUGAAAAUCUGGAAUCUGAGGGUGCAAAAAAAUCUAAAUAUUGAGAAAAUCAUCUUUAAAGUUGUCCAAAUGAAGUUCUUAGCAAUGCAUAUUACUAAUCAAAAAUUAAGUUUAGAUAUAUUUACAGUGGGAGAUUUACAAAAUAUCUUCAUGUAAAAAAAAAACUCAGGACUGCGGAGAGGAAAUGGCAUAAAUCAAGAAACUACUGACCUCAGUGUGUAUCAGUCUCUCCUCUCCUCCUUCUCUGCAAACGUCUUCACUGCUAAAACAUCAUACUACCACAAAAAAAUUAACAACUGUUCUGACUCUCGCACACUUAUCAAAACUUUCUCUUCUCUUCUUAGUCCGCCUCCACCUCCUCCUUCAUCGACUCUUACAGCUGAUGACUUUGCAGUUUUCUUCACAAAUAAGACAAGAACCAUCAGUGACCAAUUCACCACACCGCAGACUGAUGAUACACACUCUCUCUCCUCCUUCUCACCACUCUCAGAGACGGACGUUUCCAAACUUCUGUCCAGUCAUCCUACUACUUGUCCACUUGAUCCUAUCCCCACUCACCUCCUUCAGGCCAUUUCUUCUUCAGUCAUACCUUCACUUACUCACAUUAUCAACACCUCUCUUCACUCUGGUACAGUUCCCUCAGCAUAUAAGCAGGCUCAGAACAACCUCCUGGACACUCAACUGAGACUGCCCUGCUCUCGGUUACUGAAGCCCUGCGACUGGCAAGAGCAGCUUCCAAAUCCUCAAUACUCAUCUUGCUGGACCUGUCUGCUGCUUUUGACACUGUUAAUUACCAGAUUCUCCUGUCCACCCUCAGAAAGAUGAAAAAUCUCAGGAACCGCACUCCAGUGGUUUAAGUCCUACCUCUCAGAUAGAUCCUUCAGGGUGUCUUGGAGGGGUGAAGUUUCUAAGUCACAACAACUUGCUACUGGGGUUCCUCAAGGCUCAGUACUUGGACCACUUCUCUUCUCCAUCUACAUGACGUCAUUAGGAUCUGUCAUUCAGAAGCAUGGCUUUUCUUAUCACUGCUACGCUGAUGACACUCAACUCUACUUCUCAUUCCACCCAGAUGAUCCGACGGUAGUUGCUCGCAUUACAGCCUGCCUGUCUGAGUAACAUUUCUAGCUGGAUGAAUGACCAUCACCUUCAGCUCAACCUUACUAAGACUGAACUGCUGGUGGUUCCAGCUAACCCAUCGUUAAAUCACAACUACUCGAUACAGCUGGGUUCAUCAACCAUAACUCCUUCCAGGACAGCCAGAAACCUAGGAGUUGUGAUGGAUCAUCAGUUAAGCUUCACAGACCAUAUUGCUACAACGACCGGUCCUGCAGAUUUGCCUUAUACAACAUUAGGAAGAUUAGACUCUUCCUGUCAGAGCAAGCCACACAACUUCUUGUCCAGGCUCUUGUUCUCUCCAGACUGGACUAUUGUAAUGCUCUCCUGGCGGGCCUUCCUGCAUGUACUAUCAAGCCUCUACAACUGAUCCAGAAUGCAGCAGCGAGGGUUGUCUUCAAUGAGCCAAAAACAGCUCAUGUUACUCCUCUCCUCAUCAGGUUACACUGGCUACCAGUAGCCGCUCGCAUCAAAUUCAAGGUACUGAUGCUUGCCUACAAGACGACCACUGGCACAGCACCAACAUACCUAAGCUCAUUAGUUCAAUCUUAUGAGCCCUCCAGAAGUUUGCGCUCUGCAAGUGAAUGGUGCCUUGUGGUGCCAUCCCAAAGAGGUUCAAAAUCACUCUCACAGACCUUUUCCUGGACUGUGCCCAGCUGGUGGAAUGACCUCCCGAUCUCAAUUCACAGAUACCAUUUAAACUGAACUGAGCUGCAUGAUGACAUCACUGAAUUCAAUGAUGAACUGCC
This is a long non-coding RNA of Cyprinus carpio carpio, 1995 nucleotides long. The record is from Ensembl. NCBI's taxonomy places the organism in Eukaryota, Metazoa, Chordata, Actinopteri, Cypriniformes, Cyprinidae.